GAAGGGGGCGUUACUGUUGCGACUGGCAUCCGCAUCCGGCAGAUGUAGAUGGAACCAAAGUCCAGAAGUUACGCGUCACCCUUGCUCUACAGCCAAACAUGCAGGACUCUAGUAACCCGCGAAAUGAUGGGAUAGCGUUGCAAAUCCUUAAAAGAGUCUUAACGGAGAAGGGAAAAUGUUACAUUGUCAAAGUCCCAAAGCCUUUCAGCCUGAAGCCAGGAACAAUUGUUCAAAGUUUCUUUGGAACAUCAAGGAAGGAAAUCCAGAUUUUACUUUAAGUGCAAUGGGGAGUCAUUAAGGAUUUUGUGUAGGUGAGUUACAUUUCGAUUAUAUUUUGAAAAGAGCAUUCUAGCUGCAUAGUGGAGAAUUGGUUAUAGGAGAACAAGAGGGAAUCGAUGAGAAGAAUGUGGCUCUAAUCAGGUGACAGAAGUGAUG
RNAcentral lists this long non-coding RNA (435 nucleotides) under Homo sapiens (human). RNAcentral describes it as "non-protein coding UBA6-AS1:8". The record is from RNAcentral. Lineage: Eukaryota; Metazoa; Chordata; Mammalia; Primates; Hominidae.